CUACGGGACGCUGCAGUGAGGAAUAUUGCACAAUGGGGGGAACCCUGAUGCAGCAACGCCGCGUGGAGGAUGACGCAUUUCGGUGUGUAGACUCCUUUUAUAUGUCAAGAAAAUGACGGUAGCAUAUGAAUAAGCACCGGCUAACUCCGUGCCAGCAGCCGCGGUAAUACGGAGGGUGCAAGCGUGUACUCGGAAUCACUGGGCGUAAAGGACGCGUAGGCGGGUUGGAAAGUCAGGUGUGAAAUCCUACAGCUUAACUGUAGAACUGCACUUGAAACUUCUAAUCUAGAGUAUGGGAGGGGGAGAUGGAAUUAGUGGUGUAGGGGUAAAAUCCGUAGAUAUCACUAGGAAUACCUAAAGCGAAGGCGAUCUCCUGGAACAUUACUGACGCUAAGGCGUGAAAGCGUGGGGAGCAAACAGGAUUAGAUACCCUUGUAGUC
RNAcentral lists this ribosomal RNA (440 nucleotides) under uncultured bacterium. RNAcentral's name for it is "partial 16S ribosomal RNA". It matches the Rfam family "Bacterial small subunit ribosomal RNA", at positions 339 to 795 of the family's 1533-position model. The record is from RNAcentral.